RNAcentral lists this ribosomal RNA (548 nucleotides) under uncultured bacterium. Its description in RNAcentral is "bacterial SSU rRNA". It matches the Rfam family "Bacterial small subunit ribosomal RNA", at positions 355 to 895 of the family's 1533-position model. The record is from RNAcentral.
UGGGGAAUAUUGGGCAAUGGGCGAAAGCCUGAUCCAGCCAUGCCGCGUGUGUGAAGAAGGCCUUUUGGUUGUAAAGCACUUUAAGUGGGGAGGAAAAGCUUAUGGUUAAUACCCAUAAGCCCUGACGUUACCCACAGAAUAAGCACCGGCUAACUCUGUGCCAGCAGCCGCGGUAAUACAGAGGGUGCAAGCGUUAAUCGGAAUUACUGGGCGUAAAGCGCGCGUAGGUGGUUAUUUAAGUCAGAUGUGAAAGCCCCGGGCUUAACCUGGGAACUGCAUCUGAUACUGGAUAACUAGAGUAGGUGAGAGGGGAGUAGAAUUCCAGGUGUAGCGGUGAAAUGCGUAGAGAUCUGGAGGAAUACCGAUGGCGAAGGCAGCUCCCUGGCAUCAUACUGACACUGAGGUGCGAAAGCGUGGGUAGCAAACAGGAUUAGAUACCCUGGUAGUCCACGCCGUAAACGAUGUCUACCAGUCGUUGGGUCUUUUAAAGACUUAGUGACGCAGUUAACGCAAUAAGUAGACCGCCUGGGGAGUACGGCCGCAAGGUU